This 301-nucleotide ribosomal RNA is filed under the name uncultured bacterium. Its description in RNAcentral is "partial 16S ribosomal RNA". It matches the Rfam family "Bacterial small subunit ribosomal RNA", at positions 509 to 807 of the family's 1533-position model. The record is from RNAcentral.
CAGUAGCCGCGGGAAUACGAAGGGGGCUAGCGUUGCUCGGAAUCACUGGGCGUAAAGGGUGCGUAGGCGGGUCUUUAAGUCAGGGGUGAAAUCCUGGAGCUCAACUCCAGAACUGCCUUUGAUACUGGGUAUCUUGAGUAUGGAAGAGGUGAGUGGAAUUCCGAGUGUAGAGGUGAAAUUCGUAGAUAUUCGGAGGAACACCAGUGGCGAAGGCGGCUCACUGGUCCAUUACUGACGCUGAGGUGCGAAAGCGUGGGGAGCAAACAGGAUUAGAUACCCCCGUAGUCCCUGUCUCUUAUAC